CGAAAGUUGAAAGGAGUAAUCCGUCUAAAGAUGAGCCCGCGUCCGAUUAGCUAGUUGGUAGAGUAAAAGCCUACCAAGGCGACGAUCGGUAGCUGGUCUGAGAGGAUGAUCAGCCACAAUGGACUGAGACACGGCCCAUACUCCUACGGGAGGCAGCAGUGGGGAAUUUUACGCAAUGGGCGAAAGCCUGACGUAGCGACACCGCGUGAGCGAAGAAGCCCCUUGGGGUGUAAAGCUCUGUCAGCUGGAACGAAAAAAAUGACGGUACCAGCAGAGGAAGCAUCGGCUAACUACGUG
Molecule: ribosomal RNA, 297 nt
Filed under: uncultured bacterium
Lineage: Bacteria
Description: partial 16S ribosomal RNA
Rfam family: Bacterial small subunit ribosomal RNA
Source: RNAcentral